AACUGGGUAUAAACACAACAGUUGGAAUGCUUCAGAAAGAAGUUGAAUUUCCUGGUUAAGUGUAUUCAAUGUUAAAACAACAAUAACAGUGUUAAAAACACAUUUGGGGAUUGUUAGAAUGCCUUACCCACUGGUUCCUAUUAUUACUCAUUGGAUACACUGGUGUCUCUGAGAAGUAUUUCCUUAGGGAUCAUCUUAAAGGCUGUGUCCUCACAGAUAAGGGGCUGAGAAAAAGCCAGGAAACUCUCAGGACUAGACUGAUCGCCGUGGAGAUGGACCAUGUAC
RNAcentral lists this long non-coding RNA (285 nucleotides) under Mustela putorius furo (domestic ferret). RNAcentral's name for it is "lncRNA (ENSMPUG00000028255.1)". The record is from RNAcentral. Lineage: Eukaryota; Metazoa; Chordata; Mammalia; Carnivora; Mustelidae.